This 424-nucleotide ribosomal RNA is filed under the name uncultured bacterium. RNAcentral describes it as "bacterial SSU rRNA". It matches the Rfam family "Bacterial small subunit ribosomal RNA", at positions 359 to 774 of the family's 1533-position model. The record is from RNAcentral.
GAAUAUUGGACAAUGGGGGGAACCCUGAUCCAGCCAUGCCGCGUGUGUGAAGAAGGCCUUUUGGUUGUAAAGCACUUUAAGCGAGGCGGAGGCUACUCUAGUUAAUACCUAGAGAUAGUGGACGUUACUCGCAGAAUAAGCACAGGCCACCUCCGUGCCAGCCGCCGCGGUAAUACCGAGGGUGCAAGCGUUAAUCGGAUUUACUGGGCGUAAAGCGCGCGUAGGUGGCCAAUUAAGUCAAAUGUGAAAUCCCCGAGCUUAACUUGGGAAUUGCAUUCGAUACUGGUUGGCUAGAGUAUGGGAGAGGGUGGUAGAAUUCCAGGUGUAGCGGUGAAAUGCGUAGAGAUCUGGAGGAAUACCGAUGGCGAAGGCAGCCAUCUGGCCUAAUACUGACACUGAAGUGCGAAAGCAUGGGGAGCAAACA